This 467-nucleotide ribosomal RNA is filed under the name uncultured bacterium. Its description in RNAcentral is "partial 16S ribosomal RNA". It matches the Rfam family "Bacterial small subunit ribosomal RNA", at positions 28 to 507 of the family's 1533-position model. The record is from RNAcentral.
GACGAACGCUGGCGGCGUGCUUAACACAUGCAAGUCGAACGGAAAGGCCUCUUUCGGGGGGUACUCGAGUGGCGAACGGGUGAGUAACACGUGAGUAACCUGCCCUUGACUUUGGGAUAACUUCAGGAAACUGGGGCUAAUACCGGAUAGGAGCUCCUGCUGCAUGGUGGGGGUUGGAAUGUUUCUGCGGUUGGGGAUGGACUCGCGGCUUAUCAGCUUGUUGGUGGGGUAGUGGCUUACCAAGGCUUUGACGGGUAGCCGGCCUGAGAGGGUGACCGGCAACAUUGGGACUGGGAUACGGCCCAGACUCCUACGGGAGGCAGCAGUGGGGAAUAUUGCUCAAUGGGUGGAAGCCUGAUGCAGCAACGCCGUGUGCGGGAUGACGGUCUUCGGGUUGGAAACCGAUUUCGCUCAUGACGAAGCUUUGUGUGACGGUAGUGGGUAAAGAAGCACCGGCUAACUACGUG